CCUACGGGUGGCUGCAGUGGGGAAUAUUGCACAAUGGGGGAAACCCUGAUGCAGCGACGCCGCGUGAGUGAAGAAGCGUUUCGGCGCGUAAAGCUCUGUCAGCGGGGAAGAAAAACGGUUCGCGUGAGCCGCGGACGGUACCCGACCAAGAGCCCCCGGCUAACUACGUGCCAGCAGCCGCGGCAAUACGUAGGGGGCAAGCGUUAUCCGGAUUCAUUGGGGGUAAAGGGAGCGUAGACGGCUAGGCAAGUCUGGAGUGAAAGGCCGGGGCCCAACCCCGGGACUGCUCUGGAAACUGUGUGGCUGGAGUACAGGAGAGGUAGGUGGAAUUCCUGGUGUAGCGGUGAAAUGCGUAGAUAUUAGGAGGAACACCGGCGGCGAAGGCGGCUUGCUGGACUGAAACUGACGUUGAGGCUCGAAAGCGUGGGGAGCAAACAGGAUUAGAUACCCGUGUAGUC
RNAcentral lists this ribosomal RNA (458 nucleotides) under uncultured bacterium. RNAcentral describes it as "partial 16S ribosomal RNA". It matches the Rfam family "Bacterial small subunit ribosomal RNA", at positions 338 to 795 of the family's 1533-position model. The record is from RNAcentral.